RNAcentral lists this ribosomal RNA (638 nucleotides) under uncultured bacterium. Its description in RNAcentral is "bacterial SSU rRNA". The stretch from base 1 to 545 matches the Rfam family "Bacterial small subunit ribosomal RNA", at positions 338 to 873 of the family's 1533-position model. The record is from RNAcentral.
CCUACGGGAGGCAGCAGUGGGGAAUAUUGGACAAUGGGCGCAAGCCUGAUCCAGCCAUACCGCGUGUGUGAAGAAGGCCUUUUGGUUGUAAAGCACUUUAAGCGAGGAGGAGGCUCUUGAGGAUAAUACCCUUGAUGAGUGGACGUUACUCGCAGAAUAAGCACCGGCUAACUCUGUGCCAGCAGCCGCGGUAAUACAGAGGGUGCGAGCGUUAAUCGGAAUUACUGGGCGUAAAGCGCGCGUAGGCGGCUUGUUAAGUCGGAUGUGAAAUCCCCGGGCUCAACCUGGGCACUGCAUUCGAUACUGGCAAGCUAGAGUAUGGGAGAGGAAGGUAGAAUUCCAGGUGUAGCGGUGAAAUGCGUAGAGAUCUGGAGGAAUACCGAUGGCGAAGGCAGCCUUCUGGCCUAAUACUGACGCUGAGGUGCGAAAGCAUGGGGAGCAAACAGGAUUAGAUACCCUGGUAGUCCAUGCCGUAAACGAUGUCAACUAGCCGUUGGGGACCUUGAGUCUUUAGUGGCGCAGCUACGCGAGUAAGUUAGACCGCCGUGGGAGGUACGGUCGCGAAGACGUAAACGUACGAAAGGAAGUUAGACGGCGUUGGAGGACGUUGGCCGACGGACGACGACGAGGGGAGGAGG